UAAAAAGAUAAGGCUCGGGAAAUCAGUAGGUGGCGCUGUCCCAUGUAAUAAGCGGCAGGAGACAACGGCUGCCGCUAAGGAAUAAGGAGAAUCAGGUGUCAGAUCGUUCGUAAAGGAGGAGCUGUGGGAGCCCGGAGAGUUUCCUCCCCCUCCGCAUAGAAACAUAUAGGCAGAUCCUAUCCUAUGCAGUAAGAGCUGGGGCUGAGGCAAAGCUGUCAGGUGUCAUUGGCGGUGGGAUCCGGGUGAUGUGCCUGUGAGAGCAGAGGCUUCCGCGCAUCACCUCGCAUUGUUGUCCUGCCGCUUUGUUUCAUUCAUAGACAGGGAGCCACACGCGCUGCCAAAGUGAGUCCCUUACCGCCAGCUGCCCGGAACCAGUGGAGGAGCUCCGGGCAGCCUCUCAUGAUGUGCCUCGAGAGUGACGAAGUGGGCACGGGGGUCGGCGACCAGGGCUGCAUUCCAGGAGCGGAGGAGCGGGGCUUGGAGACUCUGCCGGGAAGGAUGAACCCCAAUAGCCUGGAUGUGAAAGCCGUGGAGCUGGAGAGUGAGAGCAGUAAGCCGGACAAGGAAUACAACUGGAAGCGGAGCAGUGUGACAGCGGCUGGCAUCCUCAGCGUGGGCAACGUGCUCAAUUACCUGGAUAGAUAUACAGUGGCAGGAGUUUUACUGGACAUACAGCAGCACUUUGGAGUCAAGGAUAGUGGAGCUGGACUUCUACAGACUGUCUUCAUCUGUAGCUUCAUGGUGGCAGCACCGAUUUUUGGUUAUUUAGGAGAUCGUUUCAACAGAAAAGUGAUUCUCAGUAGUGGAAUAUUUUUCUGGUCAGCUAUCACCUUCUCAAGUUCCUUCAUUCCAAAAAAGUAUUUCUGGCUCCUCGUCCUUUCUCGGGGCUUAGUUGGUAUCGGAGAGGCAAGUUACUCCACCAUUGCUCCCACCAUCAUUGGGGACCUUUUUACGAAGAACACACGUACUCUUAUGCUUUCUGUUUUCUACUUCGCCAUCCCACUUGGAAGUGGCCUUGGUUACAUCACUGGAUCAAGCGUUAAGCAAGUUGCAGGGGACUGGCGCUGGGCCUUAAGGGUUUCCCCGGUGUUGGGCGUGAUAACUGGUAUACUGUUGUUAAUAUUUGUGCCCACAGCAAAGCGAGGCCAUGCUGAGCAGCUAAAGGGGAGCUCCUGGAUCCGAGACAUGAGGGGACUGAUAAAGAAUCGCAGCUACGUCUUCUCAUCGCUGGCAACAUCCACUGUAUCGUUUGCAACGGGUGCUUUGGGCAUGUGGAUACCUCUGUAUCUGUAUAGAGCUCAGGUGGUCCAGAAAACAGUGGAACCAUGUAGCAUUCCACCCUGCAGCACCAAGGACAGUUUGAUAUUUGGAGCGAUCACUUGUCUAACAGGCUUUCUAGGUGUAAUCAUUGGAGCAGGAGCAACUAAAUGGUGUAGACGGAAAACUCAGCGUGCAGACCCACUUGUCUGUGCUGUUGGCAUGCUAGGAUCUGCCAUCUUUAUCUGCCUGGUCUUUGUUGCUGCUAAAACUAGCAUCAUAGCUGCCUAUAUCUGUAUAUUUGCGGGAGAAACUCUUCUGUUCUCUAACUGGGCCAUAACAGCUGAUAUGUUAAUGUAUGUGGUCAUACCAACACGGAGAGCAACAGCUGUGGCUUUACAGAGUUUUACAUCUCAUCUUCUAGGAGAUGCUGGUAGUCCAUACUUGAUUGGAUUUAUCUCAGACCUUAUCCAGCAGAGCACCACCAAGUCUCCUCUAUGGGAGUUCCUUAGCCUUGGCUACGCACUUAUGCUCUGCCCCUUUGUUGUUGUCCUUGGGGGAAUGUUCUUUCUGGCCACAGCCCUUUUCUUCCUGGAGGACCGAGAAAAAGCAGAAAAACUAGAGCCGUGCUCAGAUCCCUUCACUGUUGGCAACUGUAGUGACUCAGAAGAAGCUUCCAUCUUGUAGCCUUUUUUAGGGUGAGUCAACUCAUGAUGCCAUCGACUGCUGUAAAGGUCUGAUAAGAACAACCCGAGUAUAGGAGGAAAAUCUGGCAGCUCCUGGGAUACCUCACCUACAGCUUGAUGGCUUCUAUUUUUGGAAUUUUGAUGAAGAAAACAACUGAAAGAAAUUGAAGGCUCACCCAUUCCACAGACCCUUCAUUAUAAUCCAAUCAAUGAACUAAAUUGUUACUGAAAGGUAAAAAUUGCCCAUAUUCACAGUUUAUGAAGAAUUGAGACUAUGCAAAGUAACUCCGGACAUGUGAAGUAUUUUUCUGAAGCGACCACCUCCUCUGCCUAGUGAAUUUGUUUCCAGAAGGUAAAGUGGAUGCACUGAAUCUUCAUCAUUCCAACGUAUGCCUAUAGGACUGUGUACAUCACACUGUGAUCAAUGGGGCACAAAUCAACAACAGCCAUUGCUCUGUGCAGAGAUGUCAACCAUGUGGGUAAUACCAGGGAGUGGCCACUUGUUGCAGAAUUACAGAUCUUGUAUUCCCAUAAGGAGGAUACUGGGAGCUGUAGAUAGAGUUAAGGCAACAUAUCCCUAAGAGCAACAUUUAUUACAUAUUGUUUAGGAAUACUUUGUUUAGAUGAAGACAACAGAUGUAUGUAUACUAGCUGUAUAUACUUUUUUUUUUUUUUACAAACCUGUAUAUAAAUACAUAGAGAUAUAUGUAUAUAUAUUUUACACAUGCCAAAAUUUUAUUUAAACCUUGAGCAGUUCCAAAGGCUCGCGUUUCUACUACCAACAGAUAUUAAUGGAUAUUUAUUCUCUAAAGUCUGAAUUGCAACAGCUUUAAUAUUUAAUUAUUCAGCAAAAGCUAAAAAAGUGAAUGUGCUAACUAACGUUUCUUUUUGUUUACAUACUGCGUUAAAAAUGCGUGAUGAUGUUUCUUCUUCUUCUUCGUUUCAUGCGUCUGCUGGAAGAAAUGGAUUAGAUUUUUAGCCAGUCUAUGGUUUACAGUUUUUUAUGUAAUACAAAGUUGACAGAUAUCAGCAGUGUAUUAAUAUGGUGACAGUGUUGGAUAGCAGAGGAGCUUCAAUGUAUUGCAAAGAACCAUACAAGGUCAGAGAUCUGGUCUUUAAUAUAUUUUAAAAAACAAAAAAGCAAUACUGGUGGGGAGUGCAGACUUCCAGAAUCACCAACCUGAUGUGGCUUUGGAGUGGCAGUAAACCCCACUCUAAAUAUUUGCAGCCAUUUCCAGCCUGUUUUUGCAGGGCAGCAAUCUAUAAUGUUAAUACGUUUCUAAAAUUUUGUCUUUCCCCUGGCCAGGGAAUUAGGAGUUUUAUGUUCUCUUAUGAUCUCAAUGUUGUAUGAAGAGUUAGAACUCCUAUGGUUUAUUUGUCAUUUGCAGCAGUGAGCUACAGCUAUCUGACCAGGGGUUGGUCCUUUCCUGACUUGAUUUCAGUGGAGGCCAUGGAACAAAAGAGGUAAAUCAACCCAAACAAAACCAGCAUAGUGGCCUCCUGAAGUUCAUCAGCAUACUAAAUAGCCACAAUCUUGCCUUAAGUUACUAAAAUAUGGAACCAAAAUUAAAUGAUUGGACAAAAUAUUUACAGAUAUUAAUAUGAAAUAAAUGGUUUCAAAUUUUUUAUUCUAUCAGAGUUCUUAAAAUACUUUUAGGUUCUGCAUCUUUCUUCCCCAUCUCCCAUAAUUUAUCUACAGUAAAUAGCUUACCUUUACAGCCAACAUUGCAUUAGUCUUUCUUGCUGGCUUGGAAGUAGGAAUGCUAAAUAUUUGAGGUCUGUGCAGAAGUUUAUUCACUUUUAUGCUUAUAGUGACCAAGGUCUGUAGACACCUGCUAUGCACACUGUAUCAGAACAGACCAGCCCAUUGUUACUUGUAGUCUUGCAGCCUUACUAUUCAUUGUGCACAGAGCUGGAUAUUGUAGGUUUCAAGCGCAUUGUGCCUUAUUUCACAGGUUUCAGGCACAAGUAAAUUACACCUCUUAACGGCUAAAGCCUUUGGCAGCCCAUGGUAGGCAUGUGCCCCCUUACCAUCAUAAACUAAGGGAUUUCCCUUGAAGUAUAGGGAGCUGACAAAGGACUUGCAUUCAGUGUUUGGCUAAUAGUAGUCUAUGGUUCAGAAUUACAGGGCAGUGGGAGAUGACUGGAUAGAUAAUGUAGUCAUUUUUUACUUAGAAGUUAAGCCUCUGUGCCAGAAGUCCAAAACAACUCGAAAAACUGCAUUCUCGCAAAGCUCUAAAAAUAGGGCCCCUUUAUGUUUUUUAUCUCUUAAAAAAGAAAAUAAUCUCUUAAAACUGCAGUCAAAUAUUAUUACAGAACAAUAUAACUUACCUAACUUAGUGGAAGAGUUUAUAUGCCGAGAACUUCCCACACCAGUCAGUUGAACUGAAGAAGCUGCUCGGAUGAGUAGUGAAACGUCUUCAUUGAUUACUCAGCAAGUCCAGUUGUUUUUAGAUUGACCUAUACUAGAUAUACUAUGACCUGGAUGAAUGAAAAUCUUCAUAGUCAUAAUAUAACUUACCUCAUAUAUUCUAUUAGCCUUGAUUAAUAGACCCACCAGAUCUACACCUAGUAACUUCAGUUUGUAAUGAUGAUCAUGAAAGUAAAUUCUCAGUUACCUCUAAAGGGAGGUAUUUUUUGGCAUUUUGUUGCCCUUAUGACAUUGCCUUUAGCCUUAUUAUUGCAGUAAGGCUAGCUUAGGGUUUACUGCCUAACACUUUUUCGAAAAGCGUUCCCCAAUUAUAUAAUUAAGAACUGGCCUUUUAAUGGCACUAUGACUUUGCAGCGAUGAAUUUGAUAUAAAUGUCUCAUGACUUGGGUUUAGAUAAUAACUGGGCUGGGGCAAUAUUUAAGCAGGGAUAUUUAAGCUGCAAUUCAAGGCAAUACACGCUGCGCUCCUUUGCAAUAUAUUGUUGUUUUCUCCAGGGAUCCAACAAGAAAAGGUUAUUUUAUUCCCUAAGGAAUGUAAAGCAAUUUAAAGGUAUGGAAUCAAAUACAAAGGGGAAUAACUAGUAAUCUUCAGCUGAAAAAUGCAAUUAAAGUUUUUGCUAAACCCGUUCCAGUGUGUGGGAGUGGUAGUUCACCAACACCUAGAGGACUGUAGGCUGGGGAUUUCUGAUGAAAUUCAAUCAUGAUCAUGUUUGAUGUCAAAACCAACCGAACAUAAUGGGAACAAAACAACGGUGCUCAGUGUGUGUGCUACAAAUACUUUAUGUACAUUGUUAUAUCUUUCGAGUUGACGUCAGCUGGAAUAUUUCAUAGAGUGUUCGAUCAUUACAGCUACAUACACAUGGGUGUCGUCUACUAGUGUUUGGUAUAAUAUAUGCUUUCAGGUUGUGCCUCAUUUGACUGCACUGAGGGUAUUUUUAUCAAAGAGUGAAGUUAGAGAUCACCACAGUCUGCUAGAGUGAAAUUCCGCCUCUCUCCAUUAAUUUCUAUUGGAUUUUUAAAGGCGUAUUUAGUAUAAAGUAUAAACUUUCACUUUCAACCAUUGAUAAACACUAUUUAAAAAAUCCCAUAGAAAUGAUUUCACUCUAGAGGACUGUGGUGAUCUCUAACUUCACUCUUUGAUAAAUAAGCCUAAGCCAGGCCUAGAAUGGCAGUCUGUAGAUUCUGGAAAAUGGCUGCCAUAGACAGUCGAUAUUUAUUGGGCUGGUGGGGGGCUGUUUGGGCCCCUGUGUACUUGAAUUGCCAGGGCCACUGGAUUCUCAGUCCUGGCCUGCUCCUAGUAGAGUGGCUUUACUUUAUAUGGGGAUAUUGUGAUUGCAGUGAAAACCUUUGAACACCUCUUUCAAAUGUGCAGGUGCAAUAUAUUUAUUAUAUUUACCAUGUGCUGGACCUCACCCCCUAUGAGUUCCUUGGGCACUCAAAUACCGCACACAAUAACCACAUACAGUAUGACAUGCACUCAUGUUUAUGUAGCUAUAGAAAAAUCAAAGCACAGCUAUGUCUCAAAACCUGUCUGGCAGACAGUGCCUGGGGGAAUACUGAACAUUAUAGCAACAUUUUUGUUUAACUCCUUCGCUAAAUCACAAUCUUUUACUGUCUGUCAUCUAGAAUAUCAUUUUGUACAAGCUUAUCCCGUAACAAAACAGAACAAAAAAAUUGUACUGAGUUAAAUGUGAUUUGUUAAACCUUUUGCUACGACUAAACCGUGGAAGGUGAUGCUGGUCCCUUUAUGUAACGACUGCGACACCGGCACUUACACGAAAUACCAAUUUUUUCUUGUUAUACAAGAACUAAAGUACAAUAGCUUUCUGAUUUGUUCAGGAAUAAAACAAAUAAAAGGACUAUAUUAUUUUUUAGAGAAAUUGUAAACCUCAGAGUAUAAGAAAAAAAGCCAAAUAUAUACAUUUAUGUAAAUGAUAUACAAAAUAAAACUAUUUAAAGCGAA
Molecule: RNA transcript, 6336 nt
Organism: Xenopus laevis (African clawed frog)
Lineage: Eukaryota; Metazoa; Chordata; Amphibia; Anura; Pipidae
Gene: spns2.L
Gene name: spinster homolog 2 L homeolog
Exons: 14
Source: RefSeq, a predicted model, not a curated record